Molecule: ribosomal RNA, 253 nt
Filed under: uncultured bacterium
Lineage: Bacteria
Description: partial 16S ribosomal RNA
Rfam family: Bacterial small subunit ribosomal RNA
Source: RNAcentral
UACGGAGGGGGCCAGCGUUGCUCGGAAUUACUGGGCGUAAAGGGCUUGUAGGCGGUCUGAUAAGUCCUGUGUGAAAUCCCUUGGCUUAACCAAGGAACUGCGCCGGAUACUGUCAGACUAGAGGCCGGGAGAGGGAAGCGGAAUUCCCAGUGUAGCGGUGAAAUGCGUAGAUAUUGGGAGGAACACCGGUGGCGAAGGCGGCUUCCUGGACCGGUUCUGACGCUGCAGAGCGAAAGCUAGGGUAGCAAACAGG